This 458-nucleotide ribosomal RNA is filed under the name uncultured bacterium. Its description in RNAcentral is "partial 16S ribosomal RNA". It matches the Rfam family "Bacterial small subunit ribosomal RNA", at positions 338 to 795 of the family's 1533-position model. The record is from RNAcentral.
CCUACGGGAGGCAGCAGUGAGGAAUAUUGGUCAAUGGGCGAGAGCCUGAACCAGCCAAGUCGCGUGAGGGAGUACUGCCCUAUGGGUUGUAAACUUCUUUUGUCGGGGAGCAAAAGCCGGACGUGUUCGGCUGUGAGAGUUCCCGAAGAAAAAGCAUCGGCCAACUCCGGGCCAGCAGCCGCGGGUAUACGGAGGGAGCGAGCGUUUUCCGGAUUUUAUGGGUUUUAAGGGUGCGCAGGGGGAUUUUUAAGUCAGCGGUAAAAACGUGGGGCUCAACCCCAUCCAGCCGUUGAAACUGGGGAUCUAGAGUGUGCGAGAGGUAUGCGGAAUGCGUGGUGUAGCGGUGAAAUGCAUAGAUAGCACGCAGAACCCCGAUUGCGAAGGCAGCAUACCGGUACACAACUGACGCUCAGGCACGAAAGCGUGGGUAUCGAACAGGAUUAGAUACCCGAGUAGUC